GACGAACGCUGGCGGCGUGCUUAACACAUGCGAGUCGAACGGAAAGGCCCUGCUUUUGUGGGGUGCUCGAGUGGCGAACGGGUGAGUAACACGUGAGUAACCUGCCCUUGACUUUGGGAUAACUUCAGGAAACUGGGGCUAAUACCGGAUAGGAGCUCCUGCUGCAUGGUGGGGGUUGGAAAGUUUCGGCGGUUGGGGAUGGACUCGCGGCUUAUCAGCUUGUUGGUGGGGUAGUGGCUUACCAAGGCUUUGACGGGUAGCCGGCCUGAGAGGGUGACCUGCCACAUUGGGACUGAGAUACGGCCCAGACUCCUACGGGAGGCAGCAGUGGGGAAUAUUGCACAAUGGGCUGAAGCCUGAUGCAGCAACGCCGCGUGCCGGAUGACGGCCUUCGGGUUGUAAACCGCUUUCGCCUGUGACGAAGCGUGAGUGACGGUAAUGGGUAAAGAAGCACCGGCUAACUACGUG
RNAcentral lists this ribosomal RNA (468 nucleotides) under uncultured bacterium. RNAcentral's name for it is "partial 16S ribosomal RNA". It matches the Rfam family "Bacterial small subunit ribosomal RNA", at positions 28 to 507 of the family's 1533-position model. The record is from RNAcentral.